UGUGUUGCUCGACCUCUAGUUCCUACCAUGAGUCAUUAUAUCCCUUAGUUAUUGUUUGAUCCUUUUAUCUUGUUCUUUCAUUUCCUGUUGGUGCUUUGAAUGUCUGAAUCAGAUCUGAGUUUGAGUUGGAGGUUUCUUAAAUGUAUCUGUACAAAUUUGUAUUUCAGGUUACGUGACGUACACACACACUUAACAUGGCAACCACACUGCAGUUGAUCGGUGGUGGAAGAGGCAGUUCAUUUGAAUUCCACGGCAUGAACAACGGUGCCACCCUCAGGAAGAUUGGAGUGGCGGUGGAAGGCUGGCGGGUCAAAGCUGUGCGGGCGGAGCUAGUGGACAGGCACGUUGCGACCUUUGGAAAUUCAUACACUUUCAAUGAGGUUGAGUUCAAACUCGGUGAGCGCAUCACCAAGCUGUCGCUGUUUGGUAACAGUGCCGGCACACGUCUGGGUGCCAUCAAGUUCACGACGAGUCAGAACCGUCAGUUCUUUGAAAAAAUGACCAGCUGGCCACUGAAGACUGAGUACACCAUAGAUGUGGGGUCUGGAAUCUGCCUGGGACUGUAGGGCAGGUCUGGCUCAGACAUCGACUGCAUGGGCUUCCUCUUCAUCAACACCAUCAAGUUGUCCGUGCUGAAUGACAUGAAGUAUCCCACCCUGUCCCUCUUCAAACCCCAGGUGACUCCAGAAUAUGUUAAAUCCGUGUCCCACCACAAUGACACCUCAUUGGUUCAAGAGGAGUCCAUUACAUACAGCAAGACCCUGACCAAGACUUCCUCCUGGUCCGUCAGCAACAAGAUAGAAUCCACCUUGAGUGUGUCGGUCAAAGCAGGGAUCCCGGAUAUGGUCGAGGUGUCAUCAGGGUUCAGCUUGACCAUGGGAGUGGAGCAAUCCACCAGCCUGCAGAAGACAGAGACCAUAACAGAAUCAGAUACCAUCAAAGUGAAGAUCCCACCAGGGACGACCAUGGAUGUUGAGAUCACAGUGGGGAAAGCAAAUUUCGACCUUGACUACAGGGCCAUAGUGAAAGUCACCUGCAUGAAUGGCAGUCAGCUGUUCUUCCCAUCCACUGGUGUGACUUACACUUCAGUGAGGAUAUCCACAAAGGAGAGAUGAGUCAAGUGUAUGACAUCAUGAAUAGUAUGCACAGUGAUAGAACGUGACACCAUUACUGAUUAUUUGUGUGCCUUCUCUGUUAUUAAGAUCAUCUUUGAGUGAUUCUGAUUGAACCCAGUUGACUCAGCUCUUUAUUUCUGUCUCAGCAGAGGGUAUAACAACAGGUGGGUCAUACCUACAAUCCGUUGCCUUUUGUGUCCAAUGACAUUUUAACACAUGUUUUGUGUGAAUGAUUGUACAACAUUCACUACAAAAUGUUUUUUCUUAUAUGGUUAGAUGCCCAUUUACCAUAAAAAACAAUGUUAUGUAACUAUAAUGAAUUAAAGUUGUAAUAAACCAUUUGUCUGGUGUGUCAGUAAGCUUUCGCCCUAUCCCCAGUUAAGUUUAUUCAUCUUCCAUUAGAUAUACUAUUCAUAAAAUUCACAAAUAUUGUAAUUAUCAUU
Molecule: RNA transcript, 1558 nt
Organism: Oncorhynchus gorbuscha (pink salmon)
Lineage: Eukaryota; Metazoa; Chordata; Actinopteri; Salmoniformes; Salmonidae
Gene name: aerolysin-like protein
Exons: 2
Source: RefSeq, a predicted model, not a curated record